RNAcentral lists this ribosomal RNA (500 nucleotides) under uncultured bacterium. RNAcentral describes it as "partial 16S ribosomal RNA". It matches the Rfam family "Bacterial small subunit ribosomal RNA", at positions 30 to 523 of the family's 1533-position model. The record is from RNAcentral.
AUUGAACGCUGGCGGCAUGCCUUACACAUGCAAGUCGAACGGCAGCACGGGAGCAAUCCUGGUGGCGAGUGGCGAACGGGUGAGUAAAGUAUCGGAACGUGCCCAGUCGUGGGGGAUAACGUAGCGAAAGUUACGCUAAUACCGCAUACGAUCUAUGGAUGAAAGCGGGGGAUCGCAAGACCUCGCGCGAUUGGAGCGGCCGAUAUCAGAUUAGGUAGUUGGUGGGGUAAAGGCUCACCAAGCCGACGAUCUGUAGCUGGUCUGAGAGGACGACCAGCCACACUGGGACUGAGACACGGCCCAGACUCCUACGGGAGGCAGCAGUGGGGAAUUUUGGACAAUGGGCGAAAGCCUGAUCCAGCCAUGCCGCGUGCAGGAUGAAGGCCUUCGGGUUGUAAACUCCUGUUAAGUGGGAUGAAAAGCCUACAAGUAAUAUGUGUAGGCGCUGACAGUACCACUAGAGAAAGCUCCGGCAAACUUCGUGCCAGCAGCCGCCGUAA